CAACCCUCAAGCCCUGCUUGGUGUUGGGGCCCUACGGCUGCCGUAGGCCCUGAAAGGAAGUGGCGGGCUCGCUACAACUCCGAGCGUAGUAAUUCAUUAUCUCGCUAGGGACGUUGCGGCGCGCUCCUGCCGUUAAAGACCAUCUUUAACUCAA
RNAcentral lists this unclassified non-coding RNA (154 nucleotides) under Coniochaeta mutabilis. RNAcentral's name for it is "partial internal transcribed spacer 2". The record is from RNAcentral. Lineage: Eukaryota; Fungi; Ascomycota; Sordariomycetes; Coniochaetales; Coniochaetaceae. RNAcentral also lists the same sequence under 2 other names.